RNAcentral lists this long non-coding RNA (1813 nucleotides) under Salmo salar (Atlantic salmon). Its description in RNAcentral is "lncRNA (ENSSSAG00000114967.1)". Lineage: Eukaryota; Metazoa; Chordata; Actinopteri; Salmoniformes; Salmonidae. The record is from RNAcentral.
AUGGGAGACAUUACUUCCGGGCAAAGCACAGGCAGCUGGCGUGACUGGACCAACAUGUAAAAAAUGUCUAUAGCCCAGUCAGCUGCCCGUGAUUUGCAUCACGUUCAUGCGCUCGAGUUUGGAGACGACCAGAAGGCGCCAAAACGUAUCUUUAGUUUGCAGGUGGACAAUGAAAUUAAACUGGACGUGGAUGCAGGUCAUGAAUUCAUAUCAGGAAGAUAUUGGGUAAGCUCAGGGGUGAAAGUAAGGCGUUACGGUUCGGUACGGCGUCUCUGCAAAAUAAAUAGUGGGGGUACGCUAUACCGUGUCAAGAAUGGUCCACCAUCCAAAGGACAUCGAGCCAACUUAACAACUGUGGGAAGCAUUGGAGUCAACAUGGGCCAGCAUCCCUGUGGAACGCUUUCAACACCUUGUAGAGUCCAUGUCCCGACGAAUUGAGGCUGUUCUGAGGGCAAAUGGGGUGCAACUGGGGAUCUGCAGCUCAGUGAUCCAUCACCCUCUCUAGCAUCUCACCCACCCUUUGCUGUCAAGCUGUAUUUGUGUGUUAGAACAGUACAGCGAGCGGACCAGUGUCGCUGGUUUAAAUCCCAAGUCUGAUGGGAAACUAAUCGAGUGGGAAUCUAGACUGACAAGAUACUGAGAUGUUGAAAGAGGACGUGGGUCCAUGCAUCCCAACUGUACAGUGCUUCCGCAUUGUCCCCUCCCCUUUUUUACCGUUUAACUGAAACCAGGGAGCGCAAGCGAACCUUACCGAUGUCAUCCAAUCACGGAGAUGUCCGCCCUCCUAGGAAACUACAGUUGACACUCCAGGACUCGACUUCCCAGAGCAUGGAAACGGCAUGCAAGAUGUAACACAAAUACUGUCCGAAGCUCCACCAAUGGGCUACUCUGCAGCUAGGAACAAAGGCAGAGAAGAGGUGAGAGGUGUCCGGAAGCAGCAGCCUGCUGCUAUACAUGCCUGUGUUGCGCCUAGGUGUCAGACUGAAGGCAAGGCACUUUGUUUUAUGUGGCUUUAAAAUGGUUGCCGAUUGUACUGUAUGGACAUGUGGGCGUUUUGGGGGAUUAUAAUUUUUUGUUAAAUCCAUCACUAAGACAACUCAAAUGGAGUGUUUUUCUUCUCUGUAGGAGAUUAUGUAGGUCAUUUAAUCGUAGGCUAUUAUAUAUUUGUAAACAAACAACAAUGAAAUAAAAGUACUUUUCAUUUAGAUUUUAAAUAUUGUUCCCCAAUAAUGCUCCCACAGGUCACAACAGCUGGACAUAGAUUAUCUCGUAUGUCCAGCUGGAGGUCGGCUCCAUCCUCAAAGCCACUCUAACCCCGCCCUACUCUGUACUCUACUGCAUCUCCUGACACACCUGCUAGUGCCCCUGGCCUGACCCAUCCAUUAACCGUUUCAAAGGCCUGACUGAUGGCUGCCCUGACCACUGGCCUGCAGGGCUCUGAGGAGCCACCGUGCGUGAGUGUGUGUGUCUGUGUGUGCGCGUGCGGCUGCAGAAGAGACGUUUGGGGAAAGUUCAGGUGAGAUGAUGAUGAUAUGAAAAUAAACUUGAUUUGAAUACUCAGUCAAAUGUGCUGCAGAGCCCUCUCUCUCUAGCGGUAUGAGAGAGGGAGAUGGAGAAGGUGACCUGUUAAUUAAGUCAACCUUAGUCUCAACGCAAUGUUCUGCAUUUGUUAACAGCUGAUUCUGUGUAGUGUAAUAAAGUUCUCUACACCACUAUCUAUUUUGAAUGAUAGUGAGUUCCAUAGAAUUUCGUUGUGUUUUAGUUUCUGUGAAAAUUGAAUUAGAUUGGAAUUCUAUGAUGUAUUUUACUGGGA